GAUGAACGCUGGCGGCGUGCCUAAUACAUGCAAGUCGAGCGAAUGGAUUAAGAGCUUGCUCUUAUGAAGUUAGCGGCGGACGGGUGAGUAACACGUGGAUAACCUGCCCAUAAGACUGGGAUAACUCCGGGAAACCGGGGCUAAUACCGGAUAACAUUUUGAACCGCAUGGUUCGAAAUUGAAAGGCGGCUUCGGCUGUCACUUAUGGACGGACCCGCGUCGCAUUAGCUAGUUGGUGAGGUAACGGCUCACCAAGGCAACGAUGCGUAGCCGACCUGAGAGGGUGAUCGGCCACACUGGGACUGAGACACGGCCCAGACUCCUACGGGAGGCAGCAGUAGGGAAUCUUCCGCAAUGGACGAAAGUCUGACGGAGCAACGCCGCGUGAGUGAUGAAGGCUUUCGGGUCGUAAAACUCUGUUGUUAGGGAAGAACAAGUGCUAGUUGAAUAAGCUGGCACCUUGACGGUACCUAACCAGAAAGCCACGGCUAACUACGUGCCAGCAGCCGCAGUAA
This 515-nucleotide ribosomal RNA is filed under the name uncultured bacterium. RNAcentral describes it as "partial 16S ribosomal RNA". It matches the Rfam family "Bacterial small subunit ribosomal RNA", at positions 28 to 523 of the family's 1533-position model. The record is from RNAcentral.